CCACCUUGCUUGGUAUCUAUCAGAUUCACCUAUGUUGUCUGAGAUGCCAUACAAGGUAAAA
Molecule: microRNA precursor, 61 nt
Filed under: Xenoturbella bocki
Lineage: Eukaryota; Metazoa; Xenacoelomorpha; Xenoturbellidae
Description: Xbo-Novel-9_pre stem-loop
Source: RNAcentral